CACGGCCCCGGCACCUCGGGCACGGCCCCGCCGCGGCGGGCGGGCUCCUGCGGGGCUUCCUCCGUCCUUGCGCCUCCGCUCCAGCAUUGCCGUUGUCUGUGCAGGGAGCCGGGGAGGGAAGCCUUGGGCAGACUUGCCGGGUAUCUCCCCGGCUAUGAAAUAAGGAAAUGCUGGUGUCGCUUUCAUGCAGCUCCAGGGUGCUGGCUCUCCUGUAAAGGAGGGGGAGGACGUUUGCUGCUAUUGAGGUGGUAAUAGGAGAGGCACGUGGUAGUAGUUGGCUCUGUGUUCAGCGGCGCGGCACAAGGAAAUGCAAUGGGCUUGGCCUCCCUUGCUUUCACACUUUCAUUUCCCAGCUCCAGUAGUUAGUCAAAUAAAAUUGCAUGUCUUCGUUCCCUUCACACUGAUGAUCCAAACAGUAAUGUUCUUAAGUAACGUUUAUUACCUGUCUGCAAGGGGCUGUUUGGUCGGCAGUAGGUGAGGACAGUUUUCAUGGGCUUGGGAUAAGGACGGUUUGGUGUGCAUAGGUUAAUACCAAACCACAUCCCUCUCCAAGCCCAAGCGACAUUUUUUAUGAAUGCCGUAGGUGUUUACAGAUACGCUUUGUUAGAUCCUAUCAAUGUAAAAUAACUGGGUGGGAAUGUCUUGCCUACCUCAACACACCUGUCAGCGGCCACUUAACAACUGCAUUGUGCCGAGGUCUCUACUACAACCAUCCGUUCUAUAAACAUGAGAAAUGCCAGGUGUGUGGGGUUUUGUCAUAGCAAAAAUAUGCUAUUGCUUAUGUUAACUGGCUAUUCAGAUACUAUUCUGUUUUGUUAAACAGAAGAGUUGCAAAAAGCUUCAUGACAAUUCUGUUUUGAUGCUUGAUACUAUAAUGUGACUUCUUUAAAAUCUAGUUUGUAAAAGUAGGUUGGUUGAUUGAUUCAAGUCCACCUUGUUUUUUCCUGUUGGAGUGUAAUUUUAGUUUUAGCAUCAGUACUCUUUGGCAGUAAUUCUUCAGAUUUCAGGAGAGUCACUGGUCUAAAACUGCAGCUGGAUCCAGAAAUUGGGGAAGGCUGUUGAUUGUUGCUGCCUUGCCUUAGCUAUCACAGAUAUUAUGGGAACUGUGACUCUCUUGUGUUUCUACUCUUUGUUCCUUUUUCUGACUUGCUUAGCCUUUUUAGAAAGUGGUGUUUUUUCCACUCUAGAACUGUGUAUUGCAGAGCAUAGUAUUGUUCACUUUGUGUGGGGCCUUAAAAUUGUGUUUCACAGUGAACAAUACAAUAAAUUACUGAUCUGUGUUCUGCACUUGUGAAAAAAGUUCUGCAAGUCAGAUUUCAGAAGUCUUACUUUUCUUAAUGAGCAGAGCUAAAGUGAGGCACAGUUUCUAGUUAUGUAUCAGUGCAACAUCCAUGAAUGUGCAAGGAGCAGGAUGUCCUCAGAGCUGACUGUUAUGCUUCUUAGAGUGAGAAAUUGAGUACUGCCCAUUUUGGGUAUAUUUAUGAAAUACAAUUUUCUGAGUACAUUUUGGGACAGUCUUGAUGCAAAAUUGUAUACUUUUUAUUUUUCUGAGUUUGCAUUCAAAUGAGUCUGUUAAAGCAAUUUCUAUUUCAUAUUAACAUUUCUGGUGAGCACAAAGCUUUCUCGUUUCUUGGUGUUGGCUUUCUGCCUGCCUGACUCAUUCUGUGGUCUCAUUAUUCCGUGGAUAUUACAUGAAGAGUCAUAUUGCAGAAGAUACAGAAGUCAGAUGAAAAAUCACCCUGUCUUGAGAGUGGAGCCUGUAUUUGCAUGGUUCUGACUUAAUUGUGGAAUUUGUUGUCUAAGGAUUAUCUUCCUGGGCUGUGACAAUUUAUUGCCUGUUUGUGUUCAAUGGGGCAACGAAUUCACUUUGUGGUUGACCCUCAGGGUUGGUGCUGCAUGGGCCUAAUUAUCUUCGUGUGGCUGUACAAUACAAUCUUCAUUCCAAAGGUCAUCCUUUUUCCUCAUUAUGAAGAGGGAAAUAUUUCGGUUGUGGCGGUUUUGUGUUAUUACUUCUGCUCAUUGUUUUGUAUAGCUUCAUUAUUUAGAGCUUCAGUAGCAGAUCCAGGAAAACUACCUGAAAAUCCAAAGAUACCAAUUACAGAACGAGAAUAUUGGGAGUUAUGUAGCAAAUGCAAUAUGAUGAGACCAAAGCGUUCACACCAUUGCAGUCGCUGUGGACAUUGUGUGAGGCGGAUGGAUCACCACUGUCCAUGGAUUAAUAAUUGUGUUGGUGAAGACAAUCACUGGCUGUUUUUACAGCUGUGUUUCUACACCCAGAUCCUUAGUUCCUAUACACUGAUACUUGAUUUCUGCCAUUACUACUACUUUUUGCCUCUGAAAAAGGAAAACUGGGAUGUGUUUGUAUUUAGACAUGAACUUGCUCUCCUAAGAAUAUCUGCCUUCAUGGGUCUAAUAAUACUAGGUGGAAUAAGUCGACUCUUUUACACUCAGCUAAUGGGUAUUUUCACUGAAAAUCCGGUCUUCCCAUGGAUGGUGGAAGGUAACAGGAUAAUCAGUUCAACAGUGAUCCUCUGAUGUCAUUGUGGGAGCCCUGUAAAAGCGGAUUAUCUGUGACCCAGAUAAAAUAAUUAGAAAUUACUUGGACACUUACAAAUAACUGAUCUACUAAUCUCAUUUCCAAAGUUAAAAAAGGCCUGUCUCUCAACGUAACGCUACCAGAUGUUUCAGUUAAACAGCAUCCUUUGCAGACACUAAUCUGAAUCCUCGUUUUAAAGGAUUACCUUUGAUUGUUUUUAUCUCAAACACUAAACAGUGUUUCAUUUUUCCGUAUGUUCUAACAAACUAUUUCUAUGGAAGAAAAGAAAUUUUCUUAAUUCUUCCACUACAGUCCAUUAAAUAUGAUUUAAUGUGAUUUAUGCUGGUAUUGCAGAGAAAAACUUUUCAUUGAAACUAUUUAGUAAUUAACUUGUUUCUCUGGGGCAGAACUAUUUAAUGGAUAGGCUUUUAUAAAUUUAAUAGAUACCAUGUGGCCUUUGUGCAAAGUAGUGGAUGUAUUAUCAUAAACUAAGUGGACAGUGACUUUAUUAAUUUAAUUAAUGCUACCAGGGUUUCCUGUUAAUUAACUGUUUGAAUGGUGUGCAGUGAUAUGCCAAUAUCCUGUUGCAACAAUACUUUCUGGAUGUGGAAAAGAGAAAUUUCCCUUUAUUUUCUUUAGGAAGGAUAGAAGGGAAAAUAGUGUUCAACAGCCUGUGUGGUGCACAAUAUGGUGCCUACCACAUACAUUUUUCCCCUUAGAAGCUUUUAAAAAUAUUGAUACUUGCUUUUUAUUGUUGCAGUGUUUCUCCUUUUCACCUUAAAACAGCAAGUGUAUCUUACUAGGUAGUUUUUCAACCUUUUUACAAAGAUUGAGUUUCAAAAUAAUGAAAAUGUAGCUGCAGUUAUUCCAUUAGUAAAAUCAAGAGCUUUUUAAUUCUUUGCAUAUUUUAUAGUAUUGAUCUAUUGCUGAUUUAAUAUGCAGAGUGAUCUAGUUGUAGUUCUGCUGAAAUGCUUUUUGUCUUUAAUGAUGAGUAUCUUGUAAUUAAAAAUAUUUGUAAUCAUAUCUUUAAUCAGAUAAUCUAUUAAAUACUAUUUUGAUUAGUGAAUACUAAGGGCUUUUCCUGUUUUUUCACACAUGGCACGAGCAUAAUCAAGGAACUAUUAAUCCUCAUAAUUAAGUUUAGCAUAUUAAAAAUUAGGAUUGGUAGGGGAAAUUAGGAUUUCCAGGCAAUUGUAUUCUUUAUGUGGCUAUAAUACAGUGUAAGAUAUAAAGUAAUUGUAGAGGGAAAGCAAGGGGCUUAUAAACUACAACCCCCAACAGUAAUUGGAAAUUACUAACAGAAAAUAACUUAAUGUUAACAUUGUCUGUCUUCCUCUUCCUCGUUAUUCUUAUCCCUUCCCCUUUUCCUGUCUCUACCUUUAAUCCAGCUAUAGGUAGAUCGCCUAUUAAAAGACUGUGGGAAGUCCUAUAAAUUAAAUUGUCAGGAAUUAGUAAUGUCCUGGUCUUUGAACAUGAUUUUUGUUAACUGUGUAAAUUCUUUUGUAUCUUUACCUUAUUUUUCUCAAAUACACUUGGAAUUUGUUUAGCAUUUUUAAUGAAUGUAUUCUGACAUCUUUAAAUACAUAUUUACCGUAAAAAUAAAAUACUAGUUUGUUUAAAAAAAUCCCCUCUUUUAAAAUGUAGGAAUAAAUAGAAAUGUAAGAAACUCUAUGUGGCAAAAGAUCUCAUCUCUUUUAUUUAGGUCACUGCAUGGUCUUAGGUAAAUAGGAAUACUUUUAUUGAAAUUAAUAAUUUACAAUAUUAUAAGGAAAAAGUGCAAGCUAGAAAAUGUAAUCAGAUUUUAUACUGUGCAAGGAGUGUAAAAUAUCGUAAAAUAUCAUGCCAAAAUUAUCCCCAGUUCAUCACUCAAGAACGAAAUCCUUUUAUUAAUCUAUUUUUCUAAUAGUGAAGGUAGUACUUUAAACCACUUGAAGAUAAGUAACUGUAAAAAUAAUGUUUGAGUGUUCCAUGAGCUGAGUACAUUUUGUUUACAUAUUGCUUGUCAGAUUUAGACAUCAGACCAUUAAAAUGGCUUCUGUGUGAAGGAGAUCAACGACUAGCUUUCUUAAGUAUUUUUCCCUGAUAUUUUUGUCUUAAGAAGGUAAUUGUAGGUAUCAAUAAAUAUAGCAUGUUUUUUAUGUCUCUUGUCAUGCAGCUAUCUGCACCAAACAUACCAUAGUUUUGAAAUAGCCUGAAGUUACGAGACCUGCUUGUAUUUCCUCCAUUGUGGAUGUAUCCCUCAUUUGUUAUCAGAAGGUUUCUUUUCAUUGAAUCAUUUUCCAAUAUCCGAUAAAUAAAUUGGAAAUCUAUUUAACUGAAUUAAUCAGAGCAUAGAGGAGUGCAGGACUAUUCCCUAGACAUAACAUAGUGUAGCUUUAUUUUUCAUUUAGCACAUGAAUCCGAUAUAAGGAUUUAAAGUUAGAACUAAUAAUUUUCAGGCUGAACAUAAUUAUAAUUGAUAAAAUUAAUCAUAUAUGAGAAGUCUGGAUUAAAAAAAGAAUGCUAAAAAGUGGCCAAAAGUAAACCCAAAAUGUAUUUAAUGCCGAAAAAGAGAAAAUUUCUCAAAUAUGAUGUAUUCUUUCUGUGUUUAGUAUUUUAUAUUCUUGCGUUGCUAAUCUGUCACUUGCAUGCACACCAUGGGAGGAUGUUAUACAAAAAGCAAAAAAACCCCUUUAUAUAAAGGAUGUGUUGUCUUGAACUUUCAGAUAAAAGCAAAGGCUGCAAAUCCAGGAAGGCUUGCAAGUUUUGUUUUCUCUUUUUCUGUUUCAUUAUACUUUUCUGCUGAUUCAUCUAUACUGAACAUUUGAAAAUACUGAAAGCAUGGCAUAAUGCUUACAUUCUUCUACUGCAAGUAUUUAAUAGAGCUGUAAUGAUUGCAUGUCAUUUUAAGCAAACACAAAAGAAAAACUGAACCAGGGAUUGUAGCUUCAUGCUUUGGAGUUAGUCGUUUGAGUUACAAAUUACAGUUUAUCCUUUGGAAAACAUGAUUCAGUAAGCAAAAAAUACCCUUUGCAUUUUUUCAUACUGAAUUAUUUCAUGAUAAAACCCAUCCUAUAGCACGGUCUGUUAAACAGUGCAUGUGAUCUUUUAAAUUUUCUUUUUUUUUUUUGGCAAUUGGUUAUGCUAAAUAAAAGUGUAGAUGUGAAAGAUACAGUUCUCUUCGGAGCUAAUGUGGAUGCAUUCGUUUGCAAGUGAAUCUGAAGCUGGUUUGCAGAACUCUUUCAGUGCUUUCAUGUACGUGUCUUUCCAUUCUUCUCCUUCCUCUUACAGCAGUUUUAGCUGUGGCAGUAGCUUACUUGGAGUAAGCAAAGUGCUCUUACGGACUUGUGGUAUAAGCUCAAAGUGAAAAAAACCCACAUUUCUUCUCCCCUCAGCAGAAUCUGAACACUUUGCCCUUUUCCUAUUCCUAUACCUGUGUUUAUUUCCUCUAAUUUCUUUUGCCUAUCUCACUAAGGUGUGAUUUUUUUUCUCUAGUUGCUUUAAGAUGCUUAUGAUUGGCUAUGUAUCUCUCAAUAACCAGGUGCAGGAACAAUUUUUAUUUCCAAUCUGGAUGAUGACUUUGGGAAUCCAGAUGAUCCAUCAUGUCAAAUUAAUCAGUUGUGUGUUUGUCAAUUUCAUCUUGUAUUCAAUUCCAAAUUUUAAGGGAUUUUUAGAGUUAGAGAUUACUAGGAUUCCAUAGGUAUGUGAUGUUUGCUCAUAGCAAGUUAUUUUAAACUUUUGGAUGAGUGCCAGUGCUCCAAAAGGUUUUAACAUUAGCAUUAGCUUUGAGUCUGGAAAAAAAAAUCUUAGUAGAGUUCUAUUUGUAUUAAUAGUAAUCCAAGCUGAUAGUAGAUGCAGACAGCCAAAGCCUCUUAGGCUGAACACAUUAAUUCUGAUGUUGUAGCAAAAUCUUGGUAUACAUCAAAUGAAUAAUUAAGAGAGAUGAUAUUCUGGUUGAAAGCCAUUUGUAAGAUGUCUUAAUGAGCAGAACACCUUGUCAUUCAGAAGAAUAGUGGCUAUUCUGGUCCUUUGUCUCCAAAGAAGAAAUAUUAGUGUCUGAGAAGGAAGCCUUAAAUAACAGGUCAAAACUCAGCUGUGGUGCUCUCCUUUUCCUUCAUCUCCUGUCUCCAGAGCGGCUACUGACUUUCCUGGGGUGCUGUGAAGUUUCACUUUCAUGUGAAAAGGACACAACAAGCAUAGAAAAAAUGUCAAACUGUUGUGAAGAUGUAUCAAGGCCCCGAAAGCCAUGGCAGCAGACCUUCUCAGA
Molecule: RNA transcript, 6782 nt
Organism: Corvus hawaiiensis (hawaiian crow)
Lineage: Eukaryota; Metazoa; Chordata; Aves; Passeriformes; Corvidae
Gene: ZDHHC21
Gene name: zinc finger DHHC-type palmitoyltransferase 21
Exons: 10
Source: RefSeq, a predicted model, not a curated record